This 1369-nucleotide ribosomal RNA is filed under the name Rhinotia bimaculata. RNAcentral describes it as "partial 16S ribosomal RNA". Lineage: Eukaryota; Metazoa; Arthropoda; Insecta; Coleoptera; Belidae. The record is from RNAcentral.
UUCUUUAAAUUUAAAGAUUUUGGCGGUAUUUUAGUCCAAUCAGAGGAACCUGUCCUGUAAUCGAUGGUCCACGAUUUAUAUCACUUAUUUUUAAUUUACAUAUCGUCGUGGUUUGAAUAUUUUAUAAGAAUUUAAUAUUCAUUGUUCUUUAUUAAGAAAGAUAUCAGAUCAAGGUGUAGUUUAUAAUUAAGUAGAGGUGGGUUACAAUAAUUUUAUUUAAAUGGUUCAAUAACUGAGAUGUUAAUGAUAAAGUGGAUUUGAAAGUAAUUAAAACGAAUUUGUUUUAAUGAUUAAAGGCUCUAAAAUAUGUACAUAUCGCCCGUCGCUUUCACAAUAAAGUGGAAUAAGUCGUAACAAAGUAGGCUUACUGGAAAGUGAGCCUAGAAAGACAAAUUGGAGCUUGAUAUAAAGCGUUUUAUUUACAUUAAAAAGUUAACUGUGGAAUUCAGUUUAAUUUGAAUGAAAAUGUUUAUUUAGUUUAAAAGUUAAUUUUUGUUUAGUAUGAGUAAAUUAUUGUUAAUUAUUGCUAAGAAAUAAUUUGUUUUAUGAUAGAGUAUAAGUAUCGUGAGAGAAGGCAUACUUAUUUGAAUAAGAAGAAUUUUUUUGUACCUUGUGUAUCAGGGUUUAUUAAAUAAUAAUUAUGAAUUUAAUAUUCUCGAAUUAAGAAGAGCUAUUUAAUUAUAUUUUUUAUUGUAGAAUAACUAUUAUUAAUAAUUAAAUAGGAGUGAAAUGUUAUUCAUUUCUUAAUAUAUCUAGUUUUUUAAGAAAUAAAUUUAAUUUUUUUAUUAAUUAUGAAUAAUUUUAUUUAAUAAUUAUUUUUGUUAAUAAAUUAUAUUUAUUGGGAUUAGCUUAUAAAUAUAUUAUUAUAAACAAAUUUUCUUUUCAAAAUCUGUAGGAUUAGAAAUUUUCAUCAUUAUGAGUAUGUUAAAAUUUAUUUUGUUUGUCAUAUGAUUUAUAUUUGUUUUAAUUAGUUUAUUAAAAUAAUAAUUUUAAUAUGAAAAGUUAUGAAAUAAUGAUAAAAUUAGUAUAAUAUGAUUGUUAGUUAUCUUUUUAUAAUAAGGUUAGUUAAAGGAAUUCGGCAAAAUUAUUUUUCACCUGUUUAUUAAAAACAUGGCUUUUUGAUUAUAAUUUAAGGUUUGGCCUGCCCACUGAAAAUUAAAUGGCCGCGGUAAUUUGACCGUGCAAAGGUAGCAUAAUCAGUAGUUUCUUAAUUAGAAGCUGGAAUGAAAGGUUGGAUGAGAAAAUGACUGUCUCUAACUAAUUUUUAUUAGAAUUUUAUUUUUAAGUCAAAAAGCUUAAAUUUAACUUAAAGACGAGAAGACCCUAUAGAAUUUAAUAUAUCUUUAAGUUUAUAGUUUUUGGUAUUAAU